This 271-nucleotide ribosomal RNA is filed under the name uncultured bacterium. RNAcentral describes it as "partial 16S ribosomal RNA". It matches the Rfam family "Bacterial small subunit ribosomal RNA", at positions 524 to 794 of the family's 1533-position model. The record is from RNAcentral.
UACGGAGGAUCCAAGCGUUAUCCGGAUUUAUUGGGUUUAAAGGGUGCGUAGGCGGUCCUAUAAGUCAGUGGUGAAAGACGGCAGCUUAACUGUCGCAGUGCCUUUGAUACUGUAGGACUCGAAUCUAUUUGAAGUGGGCGGAAUAAGACAAGUAGCGGUGAAAUGCAUAGAUAUGUCUUAGAACUCCGAUUGCGAAGGCAGCUCACUAAGUUAGUAUUGACGCUGAUGCACGAAAGCGUGGGGAUCAAACAGGAUUAGAAACCCGAGUAGU